GAUACACCCUGCUGGGUGGGUGGUGGGAUCCAGAAGAACCCAGACCUGUCCAUCAAAACCUGUUCACAGAUUGGCAUUAAAGAAGGUAACCGGGUGGAGAAGGGGCGCGACCCUAAUUCAAGAAACAAUAGAUGGAGACAGACAGAGGAGCACAAAGAAGCAAUGGGACAACACUGGUCAGCACGAUCAGUUGUGAUAAUAGGACACCAGCAACCUCACCAGAGUCAGGUUUUUUGCAGACACCUUGGAGGUAUUUGAAGGAGGCUAAUAAGGUAGGUACUGGACAAUCAGAGAAACUACUUCAUUCCUAUGGACCCCAAAU
Molecule: long non-coding RNA, 322 nt
Organism: Dermochelys coriacea (leatherback sea turtle)
Lineage: Eukaryota; Metazoa; Chordata; Testudines; Dermochelyidae
Exons: 3
Source: RefSeq, a predicted model, not a curated record